Long non-coding RNA from Cercocebus atys (sooty mangabey), 680 nucleotides. RefSeq lists it as uncharacterized. Lineage: Eukaryota; Metazoa; Chordata; Mammalia; Primates; Cercopithecidae. The transcript is spliced from 3 exons. The record is from RefSeq and is a predicted model, not a curated record.
AGAGAGGAAGCGGCAUAUGCAAAGAUCAGAUGGAUCAUGGCUCCUUCAAGGAAGUGAAACUCUACCGUGUGGACUGUGUGGUAUGAGGAGUAUGACAGGGAAGGAGAUGGUAGAGAUGGCAGAGAAGGAGCUGGGGGCAGGUCACGAAGGAGCUUGAAGGCCAAGUUAAGGAUGAUGGAGUGCUCAUGAGGGAGAAUCCAUAUCAGCCUGGCCAUGCAGGGGAGGCCUCAGAAAGCCCUGGGAAGCCAGAGCAGUAAGACAGAAAAAGGAAGCCGUUCCUGCCGAUGAAGGGUGAGAAACCUGGAGCCUUCCCUCCCUGCACGCUACGUGGCAGAUACCUCAGGGAAAGCUGGGUCUCAGGAGAACACGCCGAUCCCGUUAACACACAGUCUUCCUAUGAAACCAUGUGGGAACUCAACACGUGCUGUCUCCUCUCUAACCUGAGAUCCUGGCCCGUUCCACAAAGCGAGGCAGUCUCUUGUAUACCCCUCACCAGCCAAGUACUGGGAUGGUGGCCAAAGGGGAGAGACAGGCCAGGGUGUGGGUGGGCCAAAGAAAUCUGAGAGGGACAGGAGCUGUGGUGGCCCGGUCUCUAAACCUGCAGAGGCUCCCUUCCAGAGAGAGAGCUUGGAACUCAGUCUCUGCCUCCCUCCUUCUCUCCCUCCCUCCAGCAGAACUGC